Molecule: unclassified non-coding RNA, 351 nt
Filed under: uncultured fungus
Lineage: Eukaryota; Fungi
Description: partial contains small subunit ribosomal RNA, internal transcribed spacer 1, and 5.8S ribosomal RNA
Rfam family: Eukaryotic small subunit ribosomal RNA (bases 1-73)
Source: RNAcentral
GCAAACUUGGUCAUUUAGAGGAAGUAAAAGUCGUAACAAGGUUUCCGUAGGUGAACCUGCGGAAGGAUCAUUAACGAGUCUUUGAAGUGGGUUUGAUGCUGGCUUCUCUAACAGGGAGGCAUGUGCUCGCCCUACUCUCAUCCACUCACACCUGUGCACCUUGACGUUGAAGACAUUGAAACACUUAGUAGGCUUCACUUUGGGUUGAAAAGUGCCUUUGGUGUUCUUUGCGUUAACUUUCACUACAAACACGAAUGUCUAUAGAAUGUCUUAUUGGCCUACGGGCUUCUAAUUGUAAAUACAACUUUCAACAACGGAUCUCUUGGCUCUCGCAUCGAUGAAGAACGCAGC